RNAcentral lists this ribosomal RNA (486 nucleotides) under uncultured bacterium. RNAcentral describes it as "partial 16S ribosomal RNA". It matches the Rfam family "Bacterial small subunit ribosomal RNA", at positions 28 to 507 of the family's 1533-position model. The record is from RNAcentral.
GACGAACGCUGGCGGCGUGCUUAACACAUGCAAGUCGAACGCUGAAGACCUGGCUUUUGUUGGGUUGGAUGAGUGGCGAACGGGUGAGUAACACGUGAGUAACCUGCCCUCUUCUUUGGGAUAACGCCCGGAAACGGGUGCUAAUACUGGAUAUUCACUGAUCUUCUCAUGGGGGUUGGUGGAAAGGGUUGUUCUGGUGGGGGAUGGGCUCGCGGCCUAUCAGCUUGUUGGUGGGGUGAUGGCCUACCAAGGCUUUGACGGGUAGCCGGCCUGAGAGGGUGACCGGUCACAUUGGGACUGAGAUACGGCACAGACUCCUACGGGAGGCAGCAGUGGGGAAUAUUGCACAAUGGGCGAAAGCCUGAUGCAGCGACGCCGCGUGAGGGAUGGAGGCCUUCGGGUUGUAAACCUCUUUCGCUCAUGGUCAAGCCGCAACUGUGGGUUGUGGUGAGGGUAGUGGGUAAAGAAGCGCCGGCUAACUACGUG